Cucurbita moschata (crookneck pumpkin) is the source of this 302-nucleotide long non-coding RNA. RefSeq lists it as uncharacterized. The transcript is spliced from 2 exons. The record is from RefSeq and is a predicted model, not a curated record. Lineage: Eukaryota; Viridiplantae; Streptophyta; Magnoliopsida; Cucurbitales; Cucurbitaceae.
CAGGGCUACAGAGUGGUUUAAGGCAUAGGCGCAAUGGCUGUGCCCUUCCCGCUCAAAAGCUGCCAGUAUUAAAUCGUCAAAUCUUCAAAUUUGGAGAUAUUAACGAAAACUGCGAGGGAGAAGGUAGAGAUUGAAGAAUUCCGGCGAGGGAAAUGCUCUUCCGCCGUUGAUUAUCGGUACGCUAUUUCUUCUCUUUAAUUGCGGAGAUAGAGAAAAUGUAAAAAGAAAUAAGAACAGUAUUUGUGUUUAUUUUGAAACAAUUCAAAUUUCAAGCCAUACAAGUAGCAAAUCCUUGAUGAUAA